This 901-nucleotide ribosomal RNA is filed under the name uncultured bacterium. RNAcentral's name for it is "bacterial SSU rRNA". It matches the Rfam family "Bacterial small subunit ribosomal RNA", at positions 66 to 980 of the family's 1533-position model. The record is from RNAcentral.
GCGGAAGUUUUCGGAUGGAAGCAAUAAACCUUAGCGGCGGACGGGUGAGUAACGCGUGGGUAACCUGCCUCAUACAGGGGGAUAACAGUUAGAAAUGACUGCUAAAACCGCAUAAGCGCACAUUGUCGAGUGACAGAGUGUGAAAAACUCCGGUGGUAUGAGAUGGACCCGCGUCUGAUUAGCUAGUUGGUGAGGUAACGGCCCACCAAGGCGACGAUCAGUAGCCGGCCUGAGAGGGCGACCGGCCACAUUGGGACUGAGACACGGCCCAAACUCCUACGGGAGGCAGCAGUGGGGAAUAUUGCACAAUGGGGGAAACCCUGAUGCAGCGACGCCGCGUGAGUGAAGAAGUAUUUCGGUAUGUAAAGCUCUAUCAGCAGGGAAGAAGAAAGACGGUACCUGACUAAGAAGCCCCGGCUAACUACGUGCCAGCAGCCGCGGUAAUACGUAGGGGGCAAGCGUUAUCCGGAUUUACUGGGUGUAAAGGGAGCGUAGACGGCUGUGCAAGUCUGAAGUGAAAGCCCAGGGCUCAACCCUGGGACUGCUUUGGAAACUGUGGAGCUAGAGUGCUGGAGAGGUAAGUGGAAUUCCUAGUGUAGCGGUGAAAUGCGUAGAUAUUAGGAGGAACACCAGUGGCGAAGGCGGCUUACUGGACAGUAACUGACGUUGAGGCUCGAAAGCGUGGGGAGCAAACAGGAUUAGAUACCCUGGUAGUCCACGCGGUAAACGAUGAAUACUAGGUGUUGGAGAGCAAAGCUUUUCGGUGCCGUCGCAAACGCAAUAAGUAUUCCACCUGGGGAGUACGUUCGCAAGAAUGAAACUCAAAGGAAUUGACGGGGACCCGCACAAGCGGUGGAGCAUGUGGUUUAAUUCGAAGNCACGCGAAGAACCUUACCAAGUC